RNAcentral lists this ribosomal RNA (2902 nucleotides) under Klebsiella pneumoniae. RNAcentral's name for it is "23S ribosomal RNA". It matches the Rfam family "Bacterial large subunit ribosomal RNA". The record is from RNAcentral. Lineage: Bacteria; Pseudomonadati; Pseudomonadota; Gammaproteobacteria; Enterobacterales; Enterobacteriaceae.
GGUUAAGCGACUAAGCGUACACGGUGGAUGCCCUGGCAGUCAGAGGCGAUGAAGGACGUGCUAAUCUGCGAAAAGCGUCGGUAAGGUGAUAUGAACCGUUAUAACCGGCGAUGUCCGAAUGGGGAAACCCAGUGUGAUUCGUCACACUAUCGUUAACUGAAUACAUAGGUUAACGAGGCGAACCGGGGGAACUGAAACAUCUAAGUACCCCGAGGAAAAGAAAUCAACCGAGAUUCCCCCAGUAGCGGCGAGCGAACGGGGAGCAGCCCAGAGUCUGAAUCAGCUUGUGUGUUAGUGGAACGGUCUGGAAAGUCCGACGGUACAGGGUGAUAGUCCCGUACACCAAAAUGCACAGGCUGUGAACUCGAAGAGUAGGGCGGGACACGUGGUAUCCUGUCUGAAUAUGGGGGGACCAUCCUCCAAGGCUAAAUACUCCUGACUGACCGAUAGUGAACCAGUACCGUGAGGGAAAGGCGAAAAGAACCCCGGCGAGGGGAGUGAAAAAGAACCUGAAACCGUGUACGUACAAGCAGUGGGAGCACCUUCGGGUGUGACUGCGUACCUUUUGUAUAAUGGGUCAGCGACUUAUAUUCUGUAGCAAGGUUAACCGUAUAGGGGAGCCGCAGGGAAACCGAGUCUUAACUGGGCGUUAAGUUGCAGGGUAUAGACCCGAAACCCGGUGAUCUAGCCAUGGGCAGGUUGAAGGUUGGGUAACACUAACUGGAGGACCGAACCGACUAAUGUUGAAAAAUUAGCGGAUGACUUGUGGCUGGGGGUGAAAGGCCAAUCAAACCGGGAGAUAGCUGGUUCUCCCCGAAAGCUAUUUAGGUAGCGCCUCGUGAAUUCAUCUUCGGGGGUAGAGCACUGUUUCGGCUAGGGGGUCAUCCCGACUUACCAACCCGAUGCAAACUACGAAUACCGAAGAAUGUUAUCACGGGAGACACACGGCGGGUGCUAACGUCCGUCGUGAAGAGGGAAACAACCCAGACCGCCAGCUAAGGUCCCAAAGUCAUGGUUAAGUGGGAAACGAUGUGGGAAGGCACAGACAGCCAGGAUGUUGGCUUAGAAGCAGCCAUCAUUUAAAGAAAGCGUAAUAGCUCACUGGUCGAGUCGGCCUGCGCGGAAGAUGUAACGGGGCUAAACCAUGCACCGAAGCUGCGGCAGCGACACUAUGUGUUGUUGGGUAGGGGAGCGUUCUGUAAGCCUGCGAAGGUGUGCUGUGAGGCAUGCUGGAGGUAUCAGAAGUGCGAAUGCUGACAUAAGUAACGAUAAAGCGGGUGAAAAGCCCGCUCGCCGGAAGACCAAGGGUUCCUGUCCAACGUUAAUCGGGGCAGGGUGAGUCGACCCCUAAGGCGAGGCCGAAAGGCGUAGUCGAUGGGAAACAGGUUAAUAUUCCUGUACUUGGUGUUACUGCGAAGGGGGGACGGAGAAGGCUAUGUUAGCCGGGCGACGGUUGUCCCGGUUUAAGCAUGUAGGCUGAUUGUCCAGGCAAAUCCGGAUAAUCAAGGCUGAGGUGUGAUGACGAGGCACUACGGUGCUGAAGUAACAAAUGCCCUGCUUCCAGGAAAAGCCUCUAAGCAUCAGGUAACAUUAAAUCGUACCCCAAACCGACACAGGUGGUCAGGUAGAGAAUACCAAGGCGCUUGAGAGAACUCGGGUGAAGGAACUAGGCAAAAUGGUGCCGUAACUUCGGGAGAAGGCACGCUGGUGUGUAGGUGAAGCCCCUGCGGGUGGAGCUGAGACCAGUCGAAGAUACCAGCUGGCUGCAACUGUUUAUUAAAAACACAGCACUGUGCAAACACGAAAGUGGACGUAUACGGUGUGACGCCUGCCCGGUGCCGGAAGGUUAAUUGAUGGGGUUAUCCGUAAGGAGAAGCUCUUGAUCGAAGCCCCGGUAAACGGCGGCCGUAACUAUAACGGUCCUAAGGUAGCGAAAUUCCUUGUCGGGUAAGUUCCGACCUGCACGAAUGGCGUAAUGAUGGCCAGGCUGUCUCCACCCGAGACUCAGUGAAAUUGAACUCGCUGUGAAGAUGCAGUGUACCCGCGGCAAGACGGAAAGACCCCGUGAACCUUUACUAUAGCUUGACACUGAACAUUGAGCCUUGAUGUGUAGGAUAGGUGGGAGGCUUUGAAGCGUGGACGCCAGUCUGCGUGGAGCCAACCUUGAAAUACCACCCUUUAAUGUUUGAUGUUCUAACGUUGGCCCCUUACCGGGGUUGCGGACAGUGUCUGGUGGGUAGUUUGACUGGGGCGGUCUCCUCCCAAAGCGUAACGGAGGAGCACGAAGGUUAGCUAAUCCUGGUCGGACAUCAGGAGGUUAGUGCAAUGGCAUAAGCUAGCUUGACUGCGAGCGUGACGGCGCGAGCAGGUGCGAAAGCAGGUCAUAGUGAUCCGGUGGUUCUGAAUGGAAGGGCCAUCGCUCAACGGAUAAAAGGUACUCCGGGGAUAACAGGCUGAUACCGCCCAAGAGUUCAUAUCGACGGCGGUGUUUGGCACCUCGAUGUCGGCUCAUCACAUCCUGGGGCUGAAGUAGGUCCCAAGGGUAUGGCUGUUCGCCAUUUAAAGUGGUACGCGAGCUGGGUUUAGAACGUCGUGAGACAGUUCGGUCCCUAUCUGCCGUGGGCGCUGGAGAAUUGAGGGGGGCUGCUCCUAGUACGAGAGGACCGGAGUGGACGCAUCACUGGUGUUCGGGUUGUCAUGCCAAUGGCACUGCCCGGUAGCUAAAUGCGGAAGAGAUAAGUGCUGAAAGCAUCUAAGCACGAAACUUGCCCCGAGAUGAGUUCUCCCUGAGACUUUAAGUCUCCUGAAGGAACGUUGAAGACGACGACGUUGAUAGGCCGGGUGUGUAAGCGCAGCGAUGCGUUGAGCUAACCGGUACUAAUGAACCGUGAGGCUUAACCUU